GAUGAACGCUAGCUACAGGCUUAACACAUGCAAGUCGAGGGGAAACGACAUCGAAAGCUUGCUUCCGAUGGGCGUCGACCGGCGCACGGGUGAGUAACGCGUAUCCAACCUGCUCACCACUUGGGGAUAACCUUGCGAAAGUAAGACUAAUACCCAAUGAUAUCCCUAGAAGACAUCUGAAAGAGAUUAAAGAUUUAUCGGUGAUGGAUGGGGAUGCGUCUGAUUAGCUUUUUGGCGGGGUAACGGCCCACCAAGGCGACGAACAGUAGGGGUUCUGAGAGGAAGGUCCCCCACAUUGGAACUGAGACACGGUCCAAACUCCUACGGGAGGCAGCAGUGAGGAAUAUUGGUCAAUGGACGAGAGUCUGAACCAGCCAAGUAGCGUGCAGGAAGACGGCCCUAUGGGUUGUAAACUGCUUUUAUAAGGGAAUAAAGUGAGUCUCGUGAGACUUUUUGCAUGUACCUUAUGAAUAAGGACCGGCUAAUUCCGUGCCAGCCGCCGCAGUAA
This 508-nucleotide ribosomal RNA is filed under the name uncultured bacterium. RNAcentral describes it as "partial 16S ribosomal RNA". It matches the Rfam family "Bacterial small subunit ribosomal RNA", at positions 28 to 523 of the family's 1533-position model. The record is from RNAcentral.